Molecule: long non-coding RNA, 564 nt
Organism: Ostrea edulis (European flat oyster)
Lineage: Eukaryota; Metazoa; Mollusca; Bivalvia; Ostreida; Ostreidae
Exons: 3
Source: RefSeq, a predicted model, not a curated record
AAUAUAAAAUUCAUGUCACCCAAGACUGAUGUAUGUCCUGUCUGUGAACAACACAAAGAUCACAUUCAAUCGGCCAUGACAGAAAACGAUAAGUUAGCUGCUCUAGACAAAUAUAGUGCACAUCUGAAUGAAGUGAAAGUAGAACGACAGUUAUAUAACCAGUGUGUCACUAAUGCGAGAACUGAGGUAGCUGAGCAACCAGUCCCGGUACAGGCAGCUUCGCCGAUGUCAACAGAGCUUAACAAUGUCCAUUAUACCUUCGAUUACUCGCAGGCCGUAUCCAUCCCGCAUCAUGUUUGUCAAGUUGGACCUCUCUAAUUUGCUACACCUAGAAAGAUUCAGUUGUUUGGAGUUGCUAUGGAGGGUAUAAAGAAGCAGAUCAACUUUCUAGUAGAUGAGGAUUCGACACCGGGGGAAAACGGAACACAUGUCAAGGGCGCUAUUGGCGUAAUUUUCAUGCUUCAUUAUUGUUUUGAGAAUUUUGGUCUGGGUGAAAAAGAAUGCCACUUACACUGUGAUAACGCUUCAGGUUAGAAUCCAAAUUAAAUGAUAAAAAAAAUAGUA